CACGCCCUAAACUAUGUCGACUGGUUGUUGGGGGUUUGACACUCUCAGUAACGAAGCUAACGCGUGAAGUCGACCGCCUGGGGAGUACGGCCGCAAGGUUAAAACUCAAAGGAAUUGACGGGGACCCGCACAAGCGGUGGAUUAUGUGGAUUAAUUCGAUGCAACGCGAAAAACCUUACCUACCCUUGACAUGUCCUGAAUCCUGGAGAGAUCCGGGGGUGCCCGAAAGGGAACGGGAACACAGGUGC
RNAcentral lists this ribosomal RNA (248 nucleotides) under uncultured bacterium. RNAcentral describes it as "partial 16S ribosomal RNA". It matches the Rfam family "Bacterial small subunit ribosomal RNA", at positions 796 to 1041 of the family's 1533-position model. The record is from RNAcentral.